Molecule: non-coding RNA, 238 nt
Organism: Pelobates cultripes (western spadefoot toad)
Lineage: Eukaryota; Metazoa; Chordata; Amphibia; Anura; Pelobatidae
Source: the annotation of a GenBank genome assembly
GCCAUUUUAAAUGCAAACUUUAACAGAAUUUGCAAUAAAGGAAGUGUAAACAUUACAUAACUCUUUACAGGAAGUGUUUAGGAAGGCUGUGCAAGUCACAUGCAGGGAGGUGUGAUUAGGGCUGUAUAAACAAAGUGAUUUACCCCUAAAUUACAGAGAUUUGAGCAGCGAGAGUACAGGGGCAUGAUCUAUACACCAAAGCUGCUUCAUUAAGCUAAAUUUGUUUUUGUGACUAUAG